UAAAAUCACAAAAAUGUGGUCAUCGCGUGGUAACUCUCGUCGCCUAUCGCUUAAUACACACUCCAUGCUGUUUAGCAGGCCAGAACCAGCCAACUUAACCACACAAUUUGCAAGUUUGGCUUGUGCUGGUCUGUCAUCAUCCUGGUCACCUGGCAUCAGCAACAAUCUCAGUGUCAUCGUUUCUGGAUAAACAGCAUCUUCCUUAAUUGGAGAAAUUCUCCUUUUUUUUAAAUCUCGUUUGUUCUCGUGUACAUCCGUGUGAGUGUGGGUGUAUUCACGAGGACACCUAUCCCGCCUGGUGGAUUCAACUUCUCUGCGGAUGGAUGGAGCGAUUGUGGAUGCCUGGCCGUUAGAUUUCCCAGGCUUUAAAGUAUACCCAACCUCGGUGGCCUAUCGCAUACGCGGUUGCUGUCUGGAAUAAUCCGCAAUGAUCGAUCGUCUCCUGAUCAUCUAAACAGGCUCAUACAUGACCCUGCAUAUUAUAGAAACUGUUGCUGCAUAUAAUGGCCAAAACGGAUAUCCAUUUAUAGAUUUUACGUAUACAAUAGUUUCCUGUAACGGUACCUAGUAAAAAGAACAAAGUCAUCCUGAAACGAUUAAGUAAUAUUUAUAUACAGACUAUUCUAAAUCUAAAGGGCAAUUUUACCCAUCAAAUGAUUGAAUCUGUAAAAAUACUCAACGACCAUUUGUGAUCUUUUUUCCGAUUUUAUUUCCCAUUGUAGACAGAACAAUUUUAUAAUUACGUCCUUUUCUAUAGUUUGUGUACACAAACC
Long non-coding RNA from Daphnia pulex (common water flea), 773 nucleotides. RefSeq lists it as uncharacterized. The record is from RefSeq and is a predicted model, not a curated record. The transcript is spliced from 4 exons. NCBI's taxonomy places the organism in Eukaryota, Metazoa, Arthropoda, Branchiopoda, Diplostraca, Daphniidae.